This 253-nucleotide ribosomal RNA is filed under the name uncultured bacterium. RNAcentral describes it as "partial 16S ribosomal RNA". It matches the Rfam family "Bacterial small subunit ribosomal RNA", at positions 524 to 776 of the family's 1533-position model. The record is from RNAcentral.
UACGAAGGUGGCGAGCGUUGUUCGGAUUCACUGGGCAUAAAGGGCGCGUAGGCGGUCCCGCAAGCAGUGCGUGAAAUCCCACGGCUCAACCGUGGAAUUGCGUUCUGGACUGCGGUUCUAGAGUGCGGGAGGGGGGUGCGGAACUCCAGGUGUAGCGGUGAAAUGCGUAGAUAUCUGGAGGAACACCGGUGGCGAAAGCGACACCCUGGCCCGCAACUGACGCUGAGGCGCGAAAGCGUGGGUAGCAAACAGG